GACGAACGCUGGCGGCGUGCUUAACACAUGCAAGUCGAACGGAAAGGCCCUGCUUUUGUGGGGUGCUCGAGUGGCGAACGGGUGAGUAACACGUGAGUAACCUGCCCUUGACUUUGGGAUAACUUCAGGAAACUGGGGCUAAUACCGGAUAGGAGCUCCUGCUGCAUGGUGGGGGUUGGAAAGUUUCGGCGGUUGGGGAUGGACUCGCGGCUUAUCAGCUUGUUGGUGGGGUAGUGGCUUACCAAGGCUUUGACGGGUAGCCGGCCUGAGAGGGUGACCGGCCACAUUGGGACUGAGAUACGGCCCAGACUCCUACGGGAGGCAGCAGUAGGGAAUAUUGCACAAUGGGCGGAAGCCUGAUGCAGCAACGCCGCGUGCGGGAUGACGGCCUUCGGGUUGUAAACCGCUUUCGCCUGCGACGAAGCGUGAGUGACGGUAAUGGGUAAAGAAGCACCGGCUAACUACGUG
This 468-nucleotide ribosomal RNA is filed under the name uncultured bacterium. Its description in RNAcentral is "partial 16S ribosomal RNA". It matches the Rfam family "Bacterial small subunit ribosomal RNA", at positions 28 to 507 of the family's 1533-position model. The record is from RNAcentral.